Molecule: non-coding RNA, 712 nt
Organism: Arachis ipaensis
Lineage: Eukaryota; Viridiplantae; Streptophyta; Magnoliopsida; Fabales; Fabaceae
Source: RefSeq, a predicted model, not a curated record
UCUUCUCUCCAUAGCACAAGCUACUUCUUCUCUCCGUGGCUGCUACUUUUGCUUCUUCCGCCACUGCCGCUGCCGCCGUUGCGUCGCACAAUCUCCCUCUGUCAUCCCUUGCGUCGCACAAGAUCCCUCCGCCGCCGCUCUCGUCGCAUCUACUCCCAUCAUCGCAGAGCUCUCUCUACUGCCGCUCUCAUCGCAUCUGCUCCCUCUGGCUCCUCUUCCAUCUAAUCUCAACUUGCUCCCUCAGUUCUUCUCGUAACCAUAUCAAAUUUCAGGUUUACUCUAAUUUUGAUGAAUUAUUUUCUGCAAUCGAAACUUUUUUGACCUAAAAUUCAUGGUAGGCCAUUGCUUUCUAUAGUUUUUAACGUUCAUAGUUUGAUAUUGAUUUUGAUGACAUUGGCUCCUGGUAAACUAAUGUUCAGAGAGCAGCAACUGGAAGGAGAUUAUCGACAGCUUCACUCGCGAUUGAGGACUCACUUGGAAAGUAUAGCAUUUUAUGGUGGAGAGAUGAGAGAAGAAGCCCAUAUUCAAUAGAAGUUUAACACCUUGGUUAGGCAUUUGAGUAGUGUCCUACAUGACCAUUGGUGGUUUGGCAUGAUUCAGGACUUUUUAUUGAAGUACUUUGGUGCUACAGUUGCUGUUAUUCUGAUAAUUGAGCCUUUCUUUUCUGGCCAUCUAAGGUCUGACAGUUCAACUUUAGGGCAUGCAGAGAUGC